Molecule: long non-coding RNA, 303 nt
Filed under: Elaeis guineensis (African oil palm)
Lineage: Eukaryota; Viridiplantae; Streptophyta; Magnoliopsida; Arecales; Arecaceae
Description: long non-coding RNA (EGUI_LNC025483)
Source: RNAcentral
UAAUAUUUUAAAUAGGCAUUCGAGGCACCGCACGCCUGAUAUCUAUUGGAUAUUAGAAUUAUCAUUCAUUAUAUGACCAUCUUAUUAUGCCCUUCAGAUCAAUGCUCAGGUUGGCUAAGCCACACUUGGACCUGGAUAUUCAUUUAUUGGAUGCACUUGGUGUAGUCAUAUUAAUGGUUGGACCUAACUAAAAUUUUCAAUGGAGGUACCACACGUCUACUGAAGAGAUAUCUGAGGCAAAACCUAAUUGCUAGAAGUUGUUUAGAGAAACAAUUGAUUAGAAACCUACCCAUGGAUGUACUA